AAGAAAUAGUUUAAAAAAAUUUUAAUUUUGGAGAUUAAAGAUAGAGAAUUUCUCUUUUCUUGAA
This 64-nucleotide transfer RNA is filed under the name Lamiinae sp. 2 ACP-2013. RNAcentral describes it as "tRNA-Pro". The record is from RNAcentral. Lineage: Eukaryota; Metazoa; Arthropoda; Insecta; Coleoptera; Cerambycidae.